CAGCAGCCGCGGUAAUACGUAGGUGGCAAGCGUUGUCCGGAAUUAUUGGGCGUAAAGGGCUCGCAGGCGGUUUCCUAAGUCUGAUGUGAAAGCCCCCGGCUCAACCGGGGAGGGUCAUUGGAAACUGGGAAACUUGAGUGCAGAAGAGGAGAGUGGAAUUCCACGUGUAGCGGUGAAAUGCGUAGAGAUGUGGAGGAACACCAGUGGCGAAGGCGACUCUCUAGUCUGUAACUGACGCUGAGGAGCGAAAGCGUGGGGAGCGAACAGGAUUAGAUACCCGCGUAGUCCCUGUCUCUUAUAC
This 301-nucleotide ribosomal RNA is filed under the name uncultured bacterium. Its description in RNAcentral is "partial 16S ribosomal RNA". It matches the Rfam family "Bacterial small subunit ribosomal RNA", at positions 509 to 807 of the family's 1533-position model. The record is from RNAcentral.